AUAACAACGUGUUUCAACUUAAAUCGAUAUGCAAUUAUCUACGAUGCUGCUAAUGACACUAGAAACAAGUAAUAUAGCGUACAUCGAAUCGGAUGUCCACACUUAAAUUUCACUGUGGGACUAUUAUUCUCAAAUUCAUGGACACCAAUUCUAUUUUGUUUUUCAAACUGCGAUAUUCAGCCGUCAAAAAUAUGUGUUUGCUUAAAAUAUCGUCCAGCCGGUCAGAUGAUAGUGCAAUUGAAAGGAUAUACGAAAAUCCAACGUAGUAUGAACUGCAUAUCCUCUUUCAGGUGUUAUUCACGCGUCAUAUACCGCGUAUUGGACAAUUCUAUUCAGGAUGACGAAGGAAAAUGAAAAGCGCCAACAUUUCUUUGUCAUGAGCCUACAUCGCAGUCUGAUCUUGGACUUCGACAAAAUAGCUUCAGAUACAUGUAUAGUAUUGAUGUUUCAUUGACGUUUGUGAUUUUCGUCAGAUAUCAAGGUAGAUUUAAUUCUACUCAUCAAUUGUGGACAAAUUCACCAAAAAAAAAAAAAAAUUGUCGGAUUCUA
Long non-coding RNA from Ostrea edulis (European flat oyster), 549 nucleotides. RefSeq lists it as uncharacterized. The transcript is spliced from 2 exons. The record is from RefSeq and is a predicted model, not a curated record. Lineage: Eukaryota; Metazoa; Mollusca; Bivalvia; Ostreida; Ostreidae.